AAUACUUUGCACAAAAAAAAGGCCUCGACAGUUAAAGUGUACAAAUUAAAGGUUGACCAACCAUCACCCUUAUUAAAGCUGUUUUCAAACUACAGAACAUACACUCACAUAACAUGUGAAGCAGCAGACAGCCUGACUAAUUGACCAACCGAUCGCUAUGCCGGUGCUUCUUUACAAAAGGGCAAGAGUCCUACCUUCAUAUCUGGAACUGCCUCCUGCCUGGCAGGUCCAGCCUCAGCAUCCAUCCAUGGAGGUCACCACUACCCCUCCUCUGUACACGUCCAAGCCAUCUCUGUCCAGCCUCUCUUUAUCUCCUAUGCCUAUUUUUUAUUUUUAAAUAAAUUUUCUUUACAGCUUAUUCCCAGAUGUGCACGUUCUGUGCUGUCUUGCUGCUGUGACAAUUUCCCCCCUUAGGGAAUGAAUGACGUCUCAUCUCAAAGCCUCAGACCUUGACGUAUUCUUCUGUAAAUAUCGUUAAACUGCACUGCUUUUGCUCAUGUAAUCCCAACAAGCAAUACGUGAACUUAUUCGUUUAUUUUAUCACAGAAAAGAACACGUCAGAAGGCAUGUCGAGUAGAAAUUUUUAUUCUUUAUGGCUUGUUUGAAAGGAUUGUAAAAGGACAAUCUUACUGGAAAAGAAAUGGGGAAAAAAAAA
Molecule: long non-coding RNA, 655 nt
Organism: Fundulus heteroclitus (mummichog)
Lineage: Eukaryota; Metazoa; Chordata; Actinopteri; Cyprinodontiformes; Fundulidae
Exons: 2
Source: RefSeq, a predicted model, not a curated record